This is a long non-coding RNA of Panthera uncia (snow leopard), 494 nucleotides long. RefSeq lists it as uncharacterized. The transcript is spliced from 3 exons. Lineage: Eukaryota; Metazoa; Chordata; Mammalia; Carnivora; Felidae. The record is from RefSeq and is a predicted model, not a curated record.
UCAUGGGAGGAGUCGGGUGGAGGGAAGAAAAGGCCGGAAGUGGCCCGCCGCCAUUGUGCGGACCUGGCUGAGGCGAGGGCGCGGCGUUGCCGAAGACCCAGAAGGCCAGCUUUGAAGAACACCUGGAGGAAAAGUGAAUCCCAUGUCAUCUCUAUAGUACAGAAGAUGCAGAAAUGGUGAAGGGAAUGGGUCAGGCCAUUUUGGAUUAACAGCACACUACCACGUAGAGAUUACUGUAAUGCGGUGUAUUCACCGAACACAGAAAGGAAGUCACCCUUGCCGUCUCAUGUCUGAGAUCAGUGGUUUCCCGACCUGUGGGGUCACAAGCCCCCAAGGAUCCUCAGGGUUGUUGCAGGGGACUCUUGAAUCCAUCUGCACAGCGAUAAUUGCCUCCAGUUUGAGCAAGCAACAUCAUCAAACAAACAGUGUUUUCUGUUAGAAAGUCUAAGUGACUAUAGCUUCCCAUUAAAUAUAAACUAAUUAAAAAUGUAUUA